RNAcentral lists this transfer RNA (66 nucleotides) under Megaxyela euchroma. Its description in RNAcentral is "tRNA-His". Lineage: Eukaryota; Metazoa; Arthropoda; Insecta; Hymenoptera; Xyelidae. The record is from RNAcentral.
AUUUAAGUAGUUUAAUAAAAAAUUUUGAUUUGUGGCAUCAGAGAUAUGGUAAAAUCAUCUUAAAUU